This 22-nucleotide microRNA is filed under the name Sus scrofa (pig). Its description in RNAcentral is "ssc-mir277". Lineage: Eukaryota; Metazoa; Chordata; Mammalia; Artiodactyla; Suidae. The record is from RNAcentral.
UGUGGGGCCACGCCCUCAGGCU